This is a non-coding RNA of Oryctolagus cuniculus (rabbit), 660 nucleotides long. Lineage: Eukaryota; Metazoa; Chordata; Mammalia; Lagomorpha; Leporidae. The record is from RefSeq and is a predicted model, not a curated record.
CACCAUUGGCUCCAAUGCCCGGGACCUGCAUCCUCUGCAGAGGACACGGGCACCUCCCCAGGAGCAGAGCCAACGUUCCCCGUUUGGACAAAGAGCACCACACGCUGGGAAGGCCAAGGGAAGCAAGGAACAGGGAGACGCUGGCAUGGCUGGGGCAGCGUCUCCUCAUGGUCGGGUGACACAAGCGGAUAUUCUCACUGCAGCCUCAGUGCCCUCAUCUGUGAAAUGGGAUGGCAGCCCUGCCACAGCCAUCACCAGGACAGGGAAUGCGAUGCACUGCACCUCCCUGCACACACUGGGGACCCCCAGCUUCUGGGAUGAGGGGUGUACAGAAAGGAGGAACAGGGUUCUUCCACUGAGGGCACAGCCUCAUGUCCACACACAGAAGGUGUCACAGUCUCUGUCCCUGUGCUCAACAAUGGGUCACUGGCAGAAGAAGCAGAGCAGGGAUUUGCUCACAGCACAGGAGGCAGAGGGGGCCUUGUCCAGGACCCCAUGUGACCCAGACUGCCUGGUGUGCAGGCAAGAGAGUUCCACACAAGCCUCAAAACAGUAGACUUUAACUCCAAGGAAUGAAUGCAUGGAUCUGUGGUGGAAACAUGGGGUGAUUUGGAAACAGGAUACAUUUGAGCUCUGGAAAAAAAAAAAAAAACCAAAGAA